Molecule: ribosomal RNA, 497 nt
Filed under: uncultured bacterium
Lineage: Bacteria
Description: partial 16S ribosomal RNA
Rfam family: Bacterial small subunit ribosomal RNA
Source: RNAcentral
GAUGAACGCUGGCGGCGUGCCUAAUACAUGCAAGUCGAGCGAACAGACGAGGAGCUUGCUCCUCUGACGUUAGCGGCGGACGGGUGAGUAACACGUGGAUAACCUACCUAUAAGACUGGGAUAACUUCGGGAAACCGGAGCUAAUACCGGAUAAUAUAUUGAACCGCAUGGUUCAAUAGUGAAAGACGGUUUUGCUGUCACUUAUAGAUGGAUCCGCGCCGCAUUAGCUAGUUGGUAAGGUAACGGCUUACCAAGGCAACGAUGCGUAGCCGACCUGAGAGGGUGAUCGGCCACACUGGAACUGAGACACGGUCCAGACUCCUACGGGGGGCAGCAGUAGGGAAUCUUCCGCGAUGGGCGAAAGCCUGACGGAGCAACGCCGCGUGAGUGAUGAAGGUCUUCGGAUCGUAAAACUCUGUUAUUAGGGAAGAACAAAUGUGUAAGUAACUAUGCACGUCUUGACGGUACCUAAUCAGAAAGCCACGGCUAACUACGUG